RNAcentral lists this unclassified non-coding RNA (688 nucleotides) under Hevea brasiliensis (rubber tree). Lineage: Eukaryota; Viridiplantae; Streptophyta; Magnoliopsida; Malpighiales; Euphorbiaceae. The record is from RNAcentral.
AAUUGUAUCUCUGCACUGGGAAGAUUCUCGGCAGGCUUUGAUAUUGAUUCUAGGAACUCCAAAUACGCAUGAUCUUUUAAUAUUGUGCACUCACGGCCAUCUUUCUUAGACCACUGCUUUGGAACACGCUGCGAAGGAGCAUAUUCAACAAUAGCCCUAAACUGAGUGCCCUUCUCAUUGACGAAGAGAUGGCCAUUAAAGAACUCUGCAAACUCAAUAACAUCUUCUGGCCUUUUGAAGUCAAUAUAGGCUCUAGAAUAGGAUUGAUGUUUCUGGCUGUUCUUGCCAGGACGGAACGAAACCCAGUUAUAACGCCCAGCAAAGGCAAAGUCGAUUUGCUCCAUGAACAUGACCAGAGAAAUCGUCGGUGGCAAGUGGCGCACCACCACCUUCGUCUUCUCAGAUUGACCCUUCAUGCCUUUAAAAACCUAAAAACCAAACAAAAAAACAAACAAAAAAAACCCUAAAAAUCCCAAAUCCCCAAAUCGAAACUAUCUUUCGCAAUUAUCUAUCCCUUCUUCCAAAUAGAUUUGAAAAGCUCGAAAAUCUGUAACAGUUUACAUCUUCUUCAUGAAGCAAUAGAUUCGAUCGAGAGCGAUUUUGACGCCUAAUUGCGGAAUUGUGCCCCAAUCGCCAUGCAAGAGAGUUAUAGAGAGGAAAAGAAGAGCACAGAGAGAGUGAAAAGAAG